UUACAUAUUUGGUCACUUCACUGGUAUCUUCCUAGUAAGUUUGUAGUCUAUUCUCUGUACAUGAGGACCAGACCUAAGGUUUAUCCUAAAGUCAUCCUACCAGCCCUAGCCAGUGGCAUCAUAUGGGGGAUAGUCAUGUGAAUGUUAUGUGACCUUUCAAAUCUUCCCCCUCUCUCUUUAGCUGGCUGGUUUGUAGCUAAUGAGAAUUUAUCACUAGCUGUUAGCUUCCCAAUAAUUACAGCUGGUCCAGGAUUUAUUAGUUCAGCCUGGGGUAUUUUGCUGUACAGAGAGAUCAAGGAAUGAAAAAAACAUUAGUCUUUAUUUUGGUGGUUUUUCGUUUCAGUCUGGAUGCUCUCUCCCAUAACAAGGUUCCAUGUUAAUGAUGCAUAAGAUAAAAAUGAUGAGGAGGCCAACAAAAAUAUAGGAAUAAUUAACUGCUGAUUGUGUAACCUUAUUAUUAUUAUUGUUCCUAUUUAUUUAAA
Amphimedon queenslandica is the source of this 482-nucleotide long non-coding RNA. RefSeq lists it as uncharacterized. Lineage: Eukaryota; Metazoa; Porifera; Demospongiae; Haplosclerida; Niphatidae. The transcript is spliced from 3 exons. The record is from RefSeq and is a predicted model, not a curated record.